GCUGAUUUGGCCGAGUGGUCUAAGGCGGUGGUUUUAAGUGGAAUACCACUUCACCAUUAUCGAGAGAUGCGUGAGUUCGAACCUCACAGUCAGCA
Molecule: non-coding RNA, 95 nt
Organism: Blumeria graminis
Lineage: Eukaryota; Fungi; Ascomycota; Leotiomycetes; Helotiales; Erysiphaceae
Source: Rfam